This 434-nucleotide ribosomal RNA is filed under the name uncultured bacterium. Its description in RNAcentral is "bacterial SSU rRNA". It matches the Rfam family "Bacterial small subunit ribosomal RNA", at positions 8 to 440 of the family's 1533-position model. The record is from RNAcentral.
AGAGUUUGAUCAUGGCUCAGAUUGAACGCUGGCGGCAGGCUUAACACAUGCAAGUCGAACGGUAACAGAACUAGCUUGCUAGUUGCUGACGAGUGGCGGACGGGUGAGUAACGCGUAGGAAUCUACCGAAUAGUGGGGGACAACAGUUGGAAACGGCUGCUAAUACCGCAUACGCCCUACGGGGGAAAGGAGGGGAUCUUCGGACCUUUCGCUAUUUGAUGAGCCUGCGUGAGAUUAGUUAGUUGGUGGGGUAAUGGCUCACCAAGGCGACGAUCUCUAGCUGGUCUGAGAGGAUGAUCAGCCACACUGGGACUGGGACACGGCCCAGACUCCUACGGNANNCANCAGUGGGGAAUAUUGCACAAUGGGGGAAACCCUGAUGCAGCCAUGCCGCGUGUGUGAAGAAGGCCUUCGGGUUGUAAAGCACUUUCAGU